GACGAACGCUGGCGGCGUGCUUAACACAUGCAAGUCGAACGGAAAGGCCCUGCUUUUGUGGGGUGCUCGAGUGGCGAACGGGUGAGUAACACGUGAGUAACCUGCCCUUGACUUUGGGAUAACUUCAGGAAACUGGGGCUAAUACCGGAUAGGAGCUCCUGCUGCAUGGUGGGGGUUGGAAAGUUUCGGCGGUUGGCGAUGGACUCGCGGCUUAUCAGCUUGUUGGUGGGGUAGUGGCUUACCAAGGCUUUGACGGGUAGCCGGCCUGAGAGGGUGACCGGCCACACUGGGACUGAGAUACGGCCCAGACUCCUACGGGAGGCAGCAGUGGGGAAUAUUGCACAAUGGGCGGAAGCCUGAUGCAGCAACGCCGCGUGCGGGAUGACGGCCUUCGGGUUGUAAACCGCUUUCGCCUGUGACGAAGCGUGAGUGACGGUAAUGGGUAAAGAAGCACCGGCUAACUACGUG
RNAcentral lists this ribosomal RNA (468 nucleotides) under uncultured bacterium. RNAcentral's name for it is "partial 16S ribosomal RNA". It matches the Rfam family "Bacterial small subunit ribosomal RNA", at positions 28 to 507 of the family's 1533-position model. The record is from RNAcentral.